AAUCAACGCUGGCGGCGUGCCUCAGACAUGCAAGUCGAACGAGAACCUCCCUUCGGGGAGGGGACAGUGGCGCACGGGUGAGUAACACGUGGGUAAUUUACCUUUGGGUGGGGGACAACAGCCGGAAACGGCUGCUAAUACCGCAUAAUGCAGCGGCUCGACAUCGAGACAGUUGUUAAAGCGGGGGAUCGCAAGACCUCGCGCCUGAAGAGAAGCCUGCGGCGGAUUAGCAGUUGGUAGGGUAAUGGCCUACCAAGGCGACGAUCUGUAACCGGCCUGAGAGGGCGGUCGGUCACACUGACACUGACAUACGGGUCAGACUCCUACGGGAGGCAGCAGUCGGGAAUUUUGGGCAAUGGGCGAAGCCUGACCCAGCAACGCCGCGUGAAGGAUGAAGCUUUUCGGAGUGUAAACUUCAAUAAGAAUGGGAAGAAUAAGUGCGGGAUAAUACCCUUCACGAUGACGGCACCAUUUGU
Molecule: ribosomal RNA, 476 nt
Filed under: uncultured bacterium
Lineage: Bacteria
Description: bacterial SSU rRNA
Rfam family: Bacterial small subunit ribosomal RNA
Source: RNAcentral